CCUACGGGAGGCAGCAGUGGGGAAUAUUGCACAAUGGGGGAAACCCUGAUGCAGCGACGCCGCGUGAGUGACGAAGUAUCUCGGUACGUAAAGCUCUAUCAGCAGGGCAGAAAAUGACGGUACCUGACUAAGCAGCCCCUGCUAAAUACGUGCCAGCAGCCGCGGUAAUACGUAGGGGGCAAGCGUUAUCCGGAUUUACUGGGUGUAAAGGGAGCGUAGACGGCAGCAAAAGUCUGGAGUGAAAUCCCGGGGCUUAACCCCGGAACUGCUUUGGAAACUGUGCGGCUGGAGUGCAGGAGGGGAAAGCGGAAUUCCUAGUGUAGCGGUGAAAUGCGUAGAUAGUAGGAGGAACACCAGUGGCGAAGGCGGCUUACUGGACUAUAACUGACGUUGAGGCUCGAAAGCGUGGGGAGCAAACAGGAUUAGAUACCCCGGUAGUC
This 440-nucleotide ribosomal RNA is filed under the name uncultured bacterium. RNAcentral's name for it is "partial 16S ribosomal RNA". It matches the Rfam family "Bacterial small subunit ribosomal RNA", at positions 338 to 795 of the family's 1533-position model. The record is from RNAcentral.